UAUUUUUCUUUAGGAAGGCGCGUUCUCUUAGGGGGAAAUGAAAUACCAAAAAAUUAAACAGCCCGCCAAUGCAUCUCUUUCUUCUUCUUCUUCUAAAUUCCUCUACCAAAAAGCCCUAAUAAUCCUUUAAGCAGUUCAUCUUCCCCUCUCUCUCUCUCUGCAAGCCCUAAGCCGCCACCACUAUCAUCGAACCUCAUAAUCUUUAAAAGUUCGAAGUGCCUAAGCAAACACUUCCGCCAUCUCAAGAUGUUGGUUCAAGAUUGGAACGCCACAUCGCAGUACAUGAUGACAUCAUCGUCUCCACAAACCGCCAUCAAUUCCUAAGAAAAUGAAUGUGACUGGUGAUCAUGAGCCUGGAAAAACCGUAGCACAUCAUCCCUAAAACGCCCAAUAGAAAAAAAAACCUAGAUUUAAAUCCCUAAUUGAUUCAGACGAUGAUCAUGAAGAGAACUUGGAUGAUGUCGCACCUUCUUCACCUUAUGGUUUGACUUCAUGGCAUUUUGAUUCAAAGUUUUAGGUAUUUUCAUAUGGACAUGGUUAGUUUCUGCAGCACCUCAAUUAGGCUGUGUAGUUCUUGCAGAACUUGUUGAUGCAUGGCUAUGGAGAAUUGACACCAAACGGUGACUCUUUACAUCUCAAGUGAGAUUCCAUGGCCCAGCUGCCAAGCUAAGGCCUCAACUUGCACCCGGUGAGCCUGAAUCACCACCUGAAAAAUACCCUGUUCAAGAGAUUCUAGCACAUCGCCUAUGGCUCGGCUUCUUCGUUGAUCGUUUUGAGGUGGUUCGACACAACAAUGUGGAACAACUCUUGCUUCAUGGUAGAAUGUUACAAGCGAGUGAAGCGACUACCAAAUUCCCAUGGGAAUUUGCACAAGUUUAAAUUAGGACUUCAGCUUCUAGAAGACAGGAUUUAGCGGGCUUCAUUAGGCUGGUUCUGCCAUCAACCUGAGUGGUUUGAGACAAAUAAUGGGAAUUUUGCACACAGUGAAGCUCAAUCUGUUCAUUCUUUUGUCCAAUUUUUGUUAAAUCACCAAAUGGAUGUUCCUCAAAAUGAUUCAAUUAAAAGUACAAGGUCAAGAAAAUGGAAAUUUUUUGCUUAAUAUGGAUUCAUCACCCUGUUUGGGGAACAAUGGAGAAUUACGCUGUUGGUAGGCCCAAAGAAAGCAACUACUUUUAAUGCUCUGUCAGCAUGAAGCUGAAAGGCUUGAUGUUUGGGCUAUGUAUGUUCCUCUUCUUGGCUCCAAAGAGAUCAUCACACCCUGGAAGCCUAAGAUUAACCCAAAGAAAUGGAUUGAACAUGCAAGAACAACGUUUGUUGUUGACCCACGGAUUGCUUUCUCUUUAGGUGCUAGAUUUCCUACAAAUUCUCCUCUAAAGAUGGAACUAACUCAUUUGGUUCAGGCAGAUAUAUUAGAGAUUCGCACCAUACCUGAAGCUUUACCUUACUUUGUGACCCCAAAAGCUGUGGAUGAAGAUUCACCACUUUUGCAACAGUUAACACAUUGAGGGUAUUGAAGUCAUAUCCUCCUUCCCGUGUACCCUUUUUCAUGCCACAGCUGAUUCAAGCUCUAAGAUAUGACGAUGAGGGAGAGACAUGUACGCCAGGGCAAGUGGGGAAAGAAGAAAUUGGUUGAGGGAUACCUGGUUAGAGCUGCUCAAAGAAGUGAUGUAUUCUCUCAUAUUCUCAUUUUUACAGGUAGGAUAUGGUGUCACUGCCGGAUGGUGUAUCUACCUAUGUCAUACUUAUAUGGGAAGAGAUUUGUUGGACCUAUCACAUCUACGGUUCUGCCGGAUGUGGUGUCACUGUCGGAUGGUGUAUCUGCUUAUCUGUUACAACAAUGGGAUUCAUCCAAGUUGAUAAGACUACAUGAUUAACUUUUGGAUCCCCUUCAAAAGGUGUCUCAAGGACCUAGAUGGAUUCACUGCAGCUAUUGUUGUGAGUAUUGCCUUCUCUUUCAUUCCUGCUUCGUUAGUUGUUGCUAUUAUGAAGGUAGGCCAUUCUCCGGUUGUAUUUUUCACAUUUUUUACAAGGAAUUGUUGUAUCUAUUUAGAGUAGGCUUAGAGCAAUGGUUGCAAGAUAUGAGUUCAGAAGAAGAAGAAACAAGGCUACAACUAUAGUUCAGGUACUAUGGAUGAAUUAUUUUUGUAAAGUAUUUAAGAUAAUGAUUAGAGACAAGGCUGAAUUUGUACAGAUUAGGUAGCUACUUGCAGGUUGAUCUUGAAUAAGCAGAGGGACAAUGGAUUGUAUUUUUUGUAUCUAAUUCGUUUGUAAAUUUUUGUUACAACUUCUAUUGAUUUGUUUUAUCUUUCCAUUGAACGAUUAUUUGUAUGACAUUAAAUUUAUGGAAUGGAUUCUAUUUUUUGUA
Non-coding RNA from Lactuca sativa (garden lettuce), 2365 nucleotides. The record is from RefSeq and is a predicted model, not a curated record. NCBI's taxonomy places the organism in Eukaryota, Viridiplantae, Streptophyta, Magnoliopsida, Asterales, Asteraceae.